RNAcentral lists this ribosomal RNA (774 nucleotides) under Triticum aestivum (bread wheat). Its description in RNAcentral is "partial small subunit ribosomal RNA". The record is from RNAcentral. Lineage: Eukaryota; Viridiplantae; Streptophyta; Magnoliopsida; Poales; Poaceae.
AUGAAGCAGGAGAAAAUUUCUGCCGGCGGCGGUUGCCGGAGACUCGAGCGGAUGAUGGGUAGAAACAUCGCACGAAGCCACGAUCUGCGUGAUGCUGCCGUCAAAUCCUGUCGAUCGAGCUGCCAGGAAACAAAGGUGCUGCGGGCGUGCUUCUGCUGGGCUUCGUGUUUGACGAUGGGCCUUUUUGCCAGGAUGGCGCUCCGCCACCGACGACCCCACGAACUCCUCCGAGCUCCGCGCUUCCGUCCACGCCGGUGGAUCAUCAUCGACGAGGUCGUCGAGAGCCACUCACGUCUGCUGGUGAACACCGUGAGCGGUCGUGUCGUCCGCAAGGAGCUGCCUAUACUCAGUAACUACUUCGUCGUUGCUACCCACGGUGGCUUCUUCGUCCUCGCCGACAAGGAGCCCCCUCACGCAGCGGCUGUCCUCAACCCUUUCACCGGUCACAUUAUCCGCUUCAAGGCGCCCGUGCCCUCCUGUGUUGAUUGUUCUGUUGCCGCUCUCUGCAGUCUUUCCACGGGAAAGUUAUCUAUGAGCUAUCGUUUCCCCGAGCACGGUUAUUCACAGCGCCACCGUUCUUCACCCACCCAGUUUUUCCUUGUGGAAUCUGCUGGAGAAAUUUUUGCUAUCAUUAAGCUGAAGAAACACGUGAAAGUGUUUCGGCUGGACAACGUCAACCGCAACGGUGAGGUUGAGCCUGUGAGAAGCAUCGGCGGCCGUGCCAUCUUACAAACUUACAGUCAUGCAUGCUUACGCCUUACAGUACAGUACUGA